This 506-nucleotide ribosomal RNA is filed under the name uncultured bacterium. Its description in RNAcentral is "partial 16S ribosomal RNA". It matches the Rfam family "Bacterial small subunit ribosomal RNA", at positions 29 to 523 of the family's 1533-position model. The record is from RNAcentral.
AGUGAACGCUGGCGGUAGGCCUAACACAUGCAAGUCGAACGGCAGCACAGGAGGGCUUGCUCUCUGGGUGGCGAGUGGCGGACGGGUGAGGAAUACAUCGGAAUCUACUUUUUCGUGGGGGAUAACGUAGGGAAACUUACGCUAAUACCGCAUACGACCUACGGGUGAAAGCAGGGGACCUUCGGGCCUUGCGCGAUUGAAUGAGCCGAUGUCGGAUUAGCUCGUUGGCGGGGUAAAGGCCCACCAAGGCGACGAUCCGUAGCUGGUCUGAGAGGAUAAUCAGCCAAACUGGAACCGAGACACGGUCCAGACUCCUACGGGAGGCAGCAGUGGGGAAUAUUGGACAAUGGGCGCAAGCCUGAUCCAGCCAUACCGCGUGGGUGAAGAAGGCCUUCGGGUUGUAAAGCCCUUUUGUUGGGAAAGAAAUCCAGCUGGCUAAUACCCGGUUGGGAUGACGGUACCCAAAGAAUAAGCACCGGCUAACUUCGUGCCAGCAGCCGCCGCCG